Molecule: ribosomal RNA, 468 nt
Filed under: uncultured bacterium
Lineage: Bacteria
Description: partial 16S ribosomal RNA
Rfam family: Bacterial small subunit ribosomal RNA
Source: RNAcentral
GACGAACGCUGGCGGCGUGCUUAACACAUGCAAGUCGAACGGAAAGGCCCUGCUUUUGUGGGGUGCUCGAGUGGCGAACGGGUGAGUAACACGUGAGUAACCUGCCCUUGACUUUGGGAUAACUUCAGGAAACUGGGGCUAAUACCGGAUAGGAGCUCCUGCUGCAUGGUGGGGGUUGGAAAGUUUCGGUGGUUGGGGAUGGACGCGCGGCUUAUCAGCUUGUUGGUGGGGUAGUGGCUUACCAAUGCUUUGACGGGUAGCCGGACUGAGAGGGUGACCGGCCACAUUGGGACUGAGGUACGGGCCAGACUCCUACGGGGGGCAGCAGUGGGAAAUAGUGCACAAUGGGCGGAAGCCGGAUACAGCAACGCCGCGUGCGGGAGGACGGCCUUCGGGGUGGAAACCGCUUGCGCCUGUGACGAAGCGUGAGUGACGGUAAUGGGUAAAGAAGCACCGGCUAACUACGUG